CUCUCCCCCCUCUCCAGGAGGUAUCUCUUCAGGAUGUCAGGAAGGAGAUCAGGUUCUGUCAGAAGGUCCAGCUACCCAUCAUAGGAGUGGUGGAGAACAUGAGUGGGUUUGUCUGUCCCAAAUGCAAGAACACGUCUCAGAUCUUCCCCCACCACGGGAGGAGCAGAGAGGAUGUGUGAAGAGAUGAACCUUACUCUGCUAGGACGAGUCCCACUGGACCCCAGGAUAGGUAAGAGUUGUGAUGAAGGGAAGUCAUUCCUGACUGAAGUCCCAGACUCCCCUGCUGCUGCUGCUUACCACUCGAUAGUACAGAGUAUCCAGGCCUACUGCUUGUCCCAUGUGACACGGGAGGAGAGUGCUGGCUAGAAGCCAGUCUGGAGGCCGCCAUGUUGCUCUGGAUGCCAGGGACGGAUCACAAGUUCGAGGGUCCCUGCUGUCUGAUGACUGAAUGAAUCACAUGCUCUGGUUUAGAAACUGAUUUAGGAUCAGGACCCCCCCAUUCACAAUGUGUCUCAGAGUAGGACACCUGAUGUAAGGUUAGGACCCCCCCCCAUUCACAAUGUGUCUCAGAGUAAGACACCUGAUGUAA
Oncorhynchus keta (chum salmon) is the source of this 589-nucleotide long non-coding RNA. RefSeq lists it as uncharacterized. The transcript has 4 exons. NCBI's taxonomy places the organism in Eukaryota, Metazoa, Chordata, Actinopteri, Salmoniformes, Salmonidae. The record is from RefSeq and is a predicted model, not a curated record.